RNAcentral lists this transfer RNA (570 nucleotides) under uncultured bacterium. Its description in RNAcentral is "partial may contain 16S ribosomal RNA, 16S-23S ribosomal RNA intergenic spacer, and 23S ribosomal RNA". The stretch from base 48 to 121 matches the Rfam family "tRNA". The record is from RNAcentral.
UGAGACGACCGUGUCCUCCACGUCCAGGCACGGCAACCACCCGCGGAGGGCGAUUAGCUCAGCUGGUUAGAGCGCUGCCCUGAUAAGGCAGAGGUCUCUGGUUCGAGUCCAGAAUCGCCCACCACUCCCCACCCUGGCGCGGGGACGUACCUCAGCUGGCAGAGCAUCUCCUUUGCAAGGAGAGGGUCAGGAGUUCGAGUCUCCUCGUCUCCACCACCACCCCGAGCACUCGCGCCAUCUCGCACAUUCGAAUAGAUUGGGUUCCAUCCCCGACACGGAUCACCGUCCAUCCACCGGGACCCUGUCCCGUAUCGAGCCCCUGAUCCGUGUCCUUCCCCCUGCGGGCAGGGCACGGACCAGCGGAUCGUUGGGAGACGGAUCGGCUUCGGUCGUUCGUGUCAUGAGGCGCGUCUUCCGACUCGUCUCACCUUAACAGCUGGAAUGUUUCGGCAGAUUGAAUGAAUCUUCGAUUUCGUGCAGUACCCGAUUACAAAUGAUCCCGAUCCGAUCCCAAUCAGCCACUGGCCACUCUGGUCAGAGGCUGGAUCGGGUCAAGCUACCACCGGCAUU